Long non-coding RNA from Amphiprion ocellaris (clown anemonefish), 1835 nucleotides. NCBI's taxonomy places the organism in Eukaryota, Metazoa, Chordata, Actinopteri, Pomacentridae. The record is from Ensembl.
GAGUAGAUAGGACACGCCCCUUUGAGCUGCGUGCUACAGCGAGGCUAAGCUAAUGGGGGCAAAGUUUCAGUGCAUUCCUUGAUGUAGACGGCGUGAAAACGGAAACAAGUAUGCUGGCUAACUAUGCUGCAUACAAUUACACACUGCGUCGUACAAUUGAGACAAGGAAACCUGGAAUGACUUUUCAUAGGUUUCCCAGAGACUAUGGGUUGAGGAGGAAUUGGAAGUUUGUCGGCUUAGACCUGGUGUCAUUCCAUCAGUGUUAAACUUCCCGGCUCAUCUUGGAAGAGUACGUGCCAGAAAGACCACGACCAAGCAGCCUUGAGAUCUUAGGCAGCGUCUCCCUGAGGUCCCUCUCUAUCUCCCCACACAUCCACCAACCACUGGAACACAUCUCCAAAGUUCUGCCGGGCCAGCUCAGCUUCCCCUCAGAAGAAGUGCUGCCACCUGCCAGAUGAAGGAGCCUUUUGAGAGGCAGCUGACAUCGUGAUUGGACUGUACUUUGGUCUGUUCCAAUCCAGCUUCAGCUCCAGAGACGGCAGGCGGGACGAGUCAACGGAGGCCUGGUGGACGAAGACCAAAGAACUACAGACUCUUCACAACCUGCUCAAACUCUUGGUACAGGACCUCACCACACGGAUCAAGAAGGUUUCCAUCUCAUUUCUACUCUGAAGCUCACCUUGUCCUGCUCAAACUGCUGACAAAUGUUUCUGCUGCUCUAAAGUCUGCUCUCCAGAACUUCCUAAAAACUCUCAAAGUCUCUUCUGCUGCAGGUUGCUUUGUAGAACUGUUCCAGAAAACCUCACUAAACCACAUGGAGGGGCCUCAAGAUAGUCGUCCAAAUGAAACCAUACAAAAACCAAACUAGUACAACCCAAACGCUAAAGUCUCCUGCAGCCUACCAGAGAACCUCUGAGAACAGAGAAUCAGGACAGGAUCUCUUACCUUCUGGACAACCAACGCUGGUUCACAAACACACAGAAUGUGUCUGACCAAAAACCUCUGAAGACUCACUACAGCCAAGAUAAAGACACAACUCAGCUGCACCAAAUCCACUAAUCACUGCACACAUUAGCACCAUGUGCUAACUGUGGCUAAAGAACCACAUUUACCAAGACAACUAUCCAGUACAAAGCCCUAAAACACACCAAGAAACACAUUAAAGAUGAUUUUACUGCUGGAAGCUGCAAACCAACGCCUAAAGAACAAACUAAAGCAACGGAGCCAAACUCGGUUCACUGGUGAAGAGAAGCAGAGGAAAUGUUUGCUGCAGCUAAAUAAAGCAGGAAGACACUGAGCUGCUCAGGUGUUCCUGAUAACACCAAGCAGCCACCUGGACAGCCAAUAGGAACACAGCUUACUGGAAGUCCAGAGGGCUGGCUUAGUGAAGGAAAUUUAAUUUAAAGUUGAAGCAGAAAGUUAACAAAGAAAGUUGAAAACCACCUUCUGAUACCUGAAAUCUCUGAGUUUUCCCACAAAGAACACCUGAACAUGUCAAACUGGUUUCAUAGUAGAACCAUCGUUGUAAAAACGUCAUAGUAUGGUGUGUUGCUCAGAAAACAUUACGACCCGGCUGUCAGGGGACAAACAUGUAAGAAACAUGAGAACAGAGAGAACCCAACCAGUAGGUCACAGUUUAUCAUCCCCCAGUCAUCUCCUGAAGUCCAUAUGGUGAGAGACAUCAGUAUCUGGUUGUUAAUUUACCAGAGGAUGCUUAUAAUCAUGCUGAUGUGGUCUGUACUCUACAGUAUUUUAGUGACUCAAUAAAUGCCUAAGUUGUUUUUUUUUUAAAUGCUUUUUAGUUUUUAAUAAACAUUUAAUAGCCUAUAUGUAAU